GACGGAGGAUGCAAGUGUUAUCCGGAAUCACUGGCGUAAAGCGUCUGUAGGUGGUUCGAAAGUCCACUGUUAAAAUUGAGGCUUAACUUCAAGAUGCCGUGGAACUUCAACUAGAGUAUGGUAGGUAGAGGAAUUCCAGUGGAGCGGUGAAUGCGUAGAUAUUGGAAGACCACCGAUGGCGAAGGCACUCUACUGCCAUACUGACACUGAGAGACGAAAGCUAGGAGCA
Molecule: ribosomal RNA, 229 nt
Filed under: uncultured bacterium
Lineage: Bacteria
Description: partial 16S ribosomal RNA
Rfam family: Bacterial small subunit ribosomal RNA
Source: RNAcentral